GGUAUUUUUUUUCAUCCAGUAGGAGUACAUUAUUUUAUUAUUUAAAUCGGACAAGCUUUUCCAAAUAUAAUCAAAAAUCACAUAUAUUUUUUUUGUGCCAAUCAAUGAAAUACAUACGUCUAGAAAACUGCACAAAGAUGUCAAAUUGGCAGCUGUCUGCGCCUUAAACACUUUAAUAAUU
This is a long non-coding RNA of Aricia agestis (brown argus), 181 nucleotides long. RefSeq lists it as uncharacterized. The record is from RefSeq and is a predicted model, not a curated record. Lineage: Eukaryota; Metazoa; Arthropoda; Insecta; Lepidoptera; Lycaenidae. The transcript is spliced from 3 exons.